UAGCUAGUAGGUGGGGUAACGGCUCACCUAGGCGACGAUCCCUAGCUGGUCUGAGAGGAUGACCAGCCACACUGGAACUGAGACACGGUCCAGACUCCUACGGGAGGCAGCAGUGGGGAAUAUUGCACAAUGGGCGCAAGCCUGAUGCAGCCAUGCCGCGUGUAUGAAGAAGGCCUUCGGGUUGUAAAGUACUUUCAGCGGGGAGGAAGGGAGUAAAGUUAAUACCUUUGCUCAUUGACGUUACCCGCAGAAGAAGCACCGGCUAACUCCGUGCCAGCAGCCGCGGUAAUACGGAGGGUGCAAGCGUUAAUCGGAAUUACUGGGCGUAAAGCGCACGCAGGCGGUUUGUUAAGUCAGAUGUGAAAUCCCCGGGCUCAACCUGGGAACUGCAUCUGAUACUGGCAAGCUUGAGUCUCGUAGAGGGGGGUAGAAUUCCAGGUGUAGCGGUGAAAUGCGUAGAGAUCUGGAGGAAUACCGGUGGCGAAGGCGGCCCCCUGGACGAAGACUGAC
This 510-nucleotide ribosomal RNA is filed under the name Escherichia coli. RNAcentral's name for it is "bacterial SSU rRNA". It matches the Rfam family "Bacterial small subunit ribosomal RNA", at positions 242 to 744 of the family's 1533-position model. Lineage: Bacteria; Pseudomonadati; Pseudomonadota; Gammaproteobacteria; Enterobacterales; Enterobacteriaceae. The record is from RNAcentral.